RNAcentral lists this ribosomal RNA (468 nucleotides) under uncultured bacterium. RNAcentral's name for it is "partial 16S ribosomal RNA". It matches the Rfam family "Bacterial small subunit ribosomal RNA", at positions 28 to 507 of the family's 1533-position model. The record is from RNAcentral.
GACGAACGCUGGCGGCGUGCUUAAUACAUGCAAGUCGAACGGAGAGGGCCGGGUUUGGUUCUGUGCUCGAGUUGCGAACGGGUGAGUAACACGUGGGUAACCUGCCCUUGACUGUGGGAUAACUUCAGGAAACUGGGGCUAAUACCGGAUAGGAGUUCCUGCUGCAUGGCGUUGGUUGGAAAGUUUCGGCGGCUGGGGAUGGAGUCGCGGCUUAGCAGCUUGUAGGUGUGGUAGGGGCUUCCGACGGCCAUGACGGGUAGCCGGACUGGGAGGGUGACCGGCCACAUUGGGAUUGAGAUAGGAGCCAGAGGCCAACGGGAGCAAGCGGCGGGAAACAGAGCAAAAUGGGCGGAAGGCUGAUGGAGCGUUGUCGGGUGCGGGAUGACGGCCGUAGGGUUGUAACGAGCUUUAGCCUGGAAAGAAGCCUGAGUGACGGUAAUGGGUAAAGAAGCAACGGCUAACUACGUG